Molecule: long non-coding RNA, 393 nt
Filed under: Chrysemys picta bellii (western painted turtle)
Lineage: Eukaryota; Metazoa; Chordata; Testudines; Emydidae
Description: lncRNA (ENSCPBG00000028257.1)
Source: RNAcentral
AAGCUCAACAUCCUUCUUUGAUCUUUCAGAUGAAGACAGUAAACUUGAAGGGGCCUACUUGUUCAAAUAUUGGCAGGUAGAAGCUGAAGCAGGUUACUGUGGAUGAGAAGCUGACAACAAAUUGGAGAAGGCAAAGAAGUUGCAUGCAGAGGCAUGUGUCCUCAAGUGAAUACAAAAUGGAGUGACAAAUGCUUUUGUCCAUAUCUUACUAAGGCCAACUUCCCCAUUCAUCAAAAGAAAGCCUUUAAGGUACAGGUUCCUGGCCUUGUUAUCAGGGUCUAUCACCUGAGGAAGCAUUUCCUGUGCCCCACCCUCCAUCAGAAGUGUGGUAUAGGAAAGAAGAGGAGAGACAAAAGCUAUGUUGAAACAGUCUACCUACGGGGGAAUCUGUGA